UGUGAUUUAGUUUAAGAGAGCAGUAAAUUUUGAUUUUAAAGGAAGUGGUUUAAUUCCACUGUUCAUAA
This 68-nucleotide transfer RNA is filed under the name Cryptopygus antarcticus travei. Its description in RNAcentral is "tRNA-Gln". It matches the Rfam family "tRNA". Rfam says of the family: Transfer RNA (tRNA) molecules are approximately 80 nucleotides in length. Their secondary structure includes four short double-helical elements and three loops (D, anti-codon, and T loops). Lineage: Eukaryota; Metazoa; Arthropoda; Collembola; Entomobryomorpha; Isotomidae. The record is from RNAcentral.